This 429-nucleotide ribosomal RNA is filed under the name Chloroflexota bacterium. RNAcentral describes it as "Chloroflexi bacterium partial 16S ribosomal RNA". It matches the Rfam family "Bacterial small subunit ribosomal RNA", at positions 355 to 776 of the family's 1533-position model. Lineage: Bacteria; Bacillati; Chloroflexota. The record is from RNAcentral.
UGGGGAAUAUUGCACAAUGGGCGCAAGCCUUAUGCAGCCAUGCCGCGUGUGUGAAGAAUGCCUUCGGGUUGUAAAGCACUUUCAGCGGGGAGGAAGGCGAUAAGGUUAAUAACCUUGUCGAUUGACGUUACCCGCAGAAGAAGCACCGGCUAACUCCGUGCCAGCAGCCGCGGUAAUACGGAGGGUGCAAGCGUUAAUCGGAAUUACUGGGCGUAAAGCGCACGCAGGCGGUUGAUUGAGUCAGAUGUGAAAUCCCCGGGCUUAACCCGGGAAUUGCAUCUGAUACUGGUCAGCUAGAGUCUUGUAGAGGGGGGUAGAAUUCCAUGGGUAGCGGUGAAAUGCGUAGAGAUGUGGAGGAAUACCGGUAGCGAAGGCGGCCCCCUGGACAAAGACUGACGCUCAGGUGCGAAAGCGUGGGGAGCAAACAGG